CCUACGGGUGGCUGCAGUGGGGAAUAUUGGGCAAUGGGCGCAAGCCUGACCCAGCAACGCCGCGUGAAGGAAGAAGGCUUUCGGGUUGUAAACUUCUUUUCUCAGGGACGAAGAAAGUGACGGUACCUGAGGAAUAAGCCACGGCUAACUACGUGCCAGCAGCCGCGGUAAUACGUAGGUGGCACGCGUUAUCCGGAUUUAUUGGGUGUAAAGGGCGUGUAGGCGGGAGCGAAGGUCAGAUGUAAAAACUCAGGGCUAAACCCUGGGCCUGCAUUUGAAACUGUGUAUUUUGAGUGAUGAGAGGUAAUCGGAAUUCCGAGUGUAGCGGUGAAAUGCGUAGAUAUAAGGAGGAACACCAGUGGCGAAGGCGGAUUGCUGGACAGUAACUGACGCUGAGGCGCGAAAGCGUGGGGAGCAAACAGGAUUAGAUACCCUUGUAGUC
RNAcentral lists this ribosomal RNA (442 nucleotides) under uncultured bacterium. RNAcentral describes it as "partial 16S ribosomal RNA". It matches the Rfam family "Bacterial small subunit ribosomal RNA", at positions 338 to 795 of the family's 1533-position model. The record is from RNAcentral.